GUAAGCGAGUUGUGGACGGUAUACGAGUGAGAAUGCAGGCAUGAGUAGCGAUACAUACGUGAGAAACGUGUGCGCCGAUUGACUAAGGGUUCCUGGGUCAAGCUGAUCUGCCCAGGGUAAGUCGGGGCCUAAGGCGAGGCCGACAGGCGUAGUCGAUGGAUAACCGGUUGAUAUUCCGGUACCCGUGGCAGUGCGCCAACGCUGAAUCAGGUGAUGCUAAGCCCGUGAAGCCCCCAGCUGGAUUCUUCGGAUGAUGGUUGGUGUGGUGGAUCCGGUGACCCGAGCUUGUAGUAGGUGAGUGAUGGGGUGACGCAGGAAGGUAGUCCAGCCCGGGCGGUGGUUGUCCCGGGGUAAGGGUGUAGCCCGAGGAGUAGGUAAAUCCGCUUCUCGUUACAGGGGUGAGACCUGAUGCCGAGCCGAUUGUGGUGAAGUGGAUGAUCCUAUGCUGUCGAGAAAAGCCUCUAGCGAGUGCUGUUGCGGCCCGUACCCUAAACCGACUCAGGUGGUCUGGUAGAGAAUACCGAGGCGUUCGGGUGAACUAUGGUUAAGGAACUCGGCAAAAUGCCCCCGUAACUUCGGGAGAAGGGGGGCCACUGUUGGUGAUCCCAUGUGCUGGGUGAGCUGGUGGUGGCCGCAGAGACCAGCGAGAAGCGACUGUUUACUAAAAACACAGGUCCGUGCGAAGCCGUAAGGCGAUGUAUACGGACUGACGCCUGCCCGGUGCUGGAACGUUAAGGGGACCGGUUAGUCACAUUUCGGUGUGGCGAAGCUGAGAACUUAAGCGCCAGUAAACGGCGGUGGUAACUAUAACCAUCCUAAGGUAGCGAAAUUCCUUGUCGGGUAAGUUCCGACCUGCACGAAUGGCGUAACGACUUCUUGACUGUCUCAACCAUAGGCCCGGUGAAAUUGCACUACGAGUAAAGAUGCUCGUUUCGCGCAGCAGGACGGAAAGACCCCGGGACCUUUACUAUAGCUUGAUAUUGGUGUUCGGUUCGGUUUGUGUAGGAUAGGUGGGAGACUGUGAAGCUCGAGCGCCAGCUUGGGUGGAGUCGUUGUUGAAAUACCACUCUGAUCGUGCUGGAUGUCUAACCUGGGUCCGUGAUCCGGAUCAGGGACAGUGUCUGGUGGGUAGUUUAACUGGGGCGGUUGCCUCCUAAAAUGUAACGGAGGCGCCCAAAGGUUCCCUCAGCCUGGUUGGUCAUCAGGUGGUGAGUGUAAGUGCACAAGGGAGCUUGACUGUGAGACUGACGGGUCGAGCAGGGACGAAAGUCGGGACUAGUGAUCCGGCGGUGGCUUGUGGAAGCGCCGUCGCUCAACGGAUAAAAGGUACCCCGGGGAUAACAGGCUGAUCUUCCCCAAGAGUCCAUAUCGACGGGAUGGUUUGGCACCUCGAUGUCGGCUCGUCGCAUCCUGGGGCUGGAGUCGGUCCCAAGGG
This 1435-nucleotide non-coding RNA is filed under the name Streptomyces sp. WMMB 714. RNAcentral describes it as "Bacterial large subunit ribosomal RNA". It matches the Rfam family "Bacterial large subunit ribosomal RNA", at positions 1262 to 2571 of the family's 2925-position model. Lineage: Bacteria; Bacillati; Actinomycetota; Actinomycetes; Kitasatosporales; Streptomycetaceae. The record is from Rfam by way of RNAcentral.